UAGAGCCUGCAUUCUGGUUGGGGAUAACAGUAGUUUUUUUGUUUUUUUUUAAAAAAUGGCCAGCACUAAGCUACCUGCACCGGGAGGGAGCAGCCAUGUCCGGUCACUCGCAUGUGCAAAAUGCGCAUGUGAAAGCAUGCGCAUAACGAGCAAUUCAUGGCACAUUUUUAUUAUUUUUUAAAAAAACUACUUUCAUCCCUGACCGGAAUGUGGGCUCUAUUAGCCCUCACCUUUGGUUGGGGAAAACAUUUUUACCCAACAGUGCCCAGAGCAAGGAGGUACCAGCCCUGUGGAGCUGACACUGUAUGGAGCAAAUAUUUUAAACUUCAGAAUUUAACUUAAAAACCAAAAAAAAGUCAUCUGUUUACAAAUUCAAGUUUAGCAAAAUCUGGCAAACAUCUACAGAUGGCGGUCUAUUUUAAUCAUUCAUGCUAUUUUUUUUACCAGCCAAAAUCUUAAAAGUAAAUGGAAGAAUAUGAUUUUUUAUUGCAAUCAAGGUUUUUUUUAUGAAUUUGCUAGCGAUCGAAAAUGUGAAGUUUUGUAAAUAAAUACAUUUCCCUCCUUGUAUAAUGGAAGCAGUGAAAUAGAGAGACAAAGAGGAGGAGAAGAGAAAGGGGGAGAACAAGAUACGUGAGGGAGGAAGUUUCAAAAAGAGAGCUGAAGGAGCAAUAAUAUUCCAUAUAUUAUUUCUUGUCUUCAUAUUCACUAUUAUAUUAUUUGUAGAAAAUUUUAAUUUUUUUUAUAUAGAUUAAAGAACAAAGACAAUGUUUUAGAACAUUUUAAUGUAAACACAAAGGCUGGAAUACUAGAAUAAGAGCUUUUAACUAAUGUUCUGUUCCAGGCAACCAGUCAUUAAGAUGAUAAAUGUUGAUAUAAAAAAAAAAUCUUACCAGUGUUUUUCAGGAAGUACACACUUUACUUCGUCCGGAGAUGCUUGAGCAGUACUGCAAAGCGAAUUACUGCUUAUCCGAUGUAGCUGUAGAUUCAAAAGGAAUUGAAAUGUAAAAUAAAGCUGAAUUAUUGAAAUAUUUGAGAUUUUGUACAGGAGCUCAUGAGAUCCUAAUGGAAGAGCAAGAGAAUCACAUGAUGGAUUAAUUGAUCAAUCUGUUCAAGUAUCUCCAAUUAAGGCACACAUUUAAAACCCAAUUCCCCACCAGACCCACUGAACUAGUUGACUCUACUCUAGAGGUGUAUCUACGAAGAAAAGAUCCCAAGAACCUGGCUUUAUGCUGUACUAGGUCAGACAGGCCCAGAUCCCUCGGCCAAAAUGAGAGAGAAAUGGUCUAGAGACAUUCCAGGACUAGAGGAGGAGCUGUGGGUGGAUUCCUCGAAACAGGUUUCAGAUAUCACCAUGUCCGUCAGAGACGGGUAUAUACAAGUAAAAUUUCUGAAUGGAGUGUACCUUACACCGUAGGCUUACAAAGUUUCACCCAAUGACCUCAGACCAAUGUGUAAAGUUGGUUCCUACCUACAUGUGUUUUACGAUUGCCCAUUUUUCAAUGAUUUUGGGGGGAAUUUCUGCAUCAUAUCUCCUUAACCAUAAAUACCCCAUGUAUUAAAACUCCUUUGGUAUGUCUUGUAGGCACACACUAGGACUGUAAUGUAUAAUGCUGAUGAUUAUGUGAAUCACUGGCUCCACUGGCAACUUUCAACCUUUAAUUUUUCUUAUUUUGUGUAUUUCUUUACUUUCUGUAUUUAUAAGUUAAAUGUAAAAAUAAAAACUUAAAAAAGGUA
Xenopus laevis (African clawed frog) is the source of this 1734-nucleotide long non-coding RNA. RefSeq lists it as uncharacterized. NCBI's taxonomy places the organism in Eukaryota, Metazoa, Chordata, Amphibia, Anura, Pipidae. The record is from RefSeq and is a predicted model, not a curated record. The transcript is spliced from 2 exons.